UACGAAGGGGGCUAGCGUUGCUCGGAAUUACUGGGCGUAAAGGGCGCGUAGGCGGCACUGUUAGUCAGGCGUGAAAGUCCUGGGCUCAACCUGGGAACUGCGCUUGAUACGGCAGAGCUAGAGGAUGGAAGAGGGUCGCGGAAUUCCCAGUGUAGAGGUGAAAAUUCGUAGAUAUUGGGAAGAACACCGGUGGCGAAGGCGGCGACCUGGUCCAUUACUGACGCUGAGGCGCGAAAACCAGGGGGAGCAAAACGGGG
RNAcentral lists this ribosomal RNA (257 nucleotides) under uncultured bacterium. RNAcentral's name for it is "partial 16S ribosomal RNA". It matches the Rfam family "Bacterial small subunit ribosomal RNA", at positions 524 to 778 of the family's 1533-position model. The record is from RNAcentral.